UCGUAGAGGUGUUCCGCGAUAGAUGGCGCGUGAAAUUAUCUGCGCGACUUUCGCGAAAAGUUUCCGUCGUCCGUCACACGGCUCGCACAUUUCGCAUUAUUCUUUCAUCGCGUCGCGAUUAACGCGUGCCAUUGUGAUAUAUCGGGAAUGCCAGCGAUCGCGUUAACGCGUCGCGGCAAUCGUAAUCAUCCAACGCGUCGCGAUUAACGCGUCCUUUCCGCGACCUAACCGACACGCGUUGCAUCGCGUCACGUAGAUACAUACAUUUCGUCGUGGCUCGUCAAAGAGCGAUAUCGAAACGCGAGCUGAACUUGAGCGCCGAUUUGUUGCUGUAUCAUAUCGUAGGUAAUUACGUCAUAAAUACUAAAGUGUUCUCAUUAAUAUUUCAGGAUGCCGCCAAGGAAUUGUCUCGAGCCGCGCCGCGCAAAUCAGUUGCUAAGUUCAUAUUGUUGCCGUCGCCGUCGACACGUAGCCGCCUCGCGACCGUGCGUUCCAGCUUUUUCGCAUCAUUUCCGAUUUCCGGGUGUGACGACCGUCGCGUUGCGAUAAUCAGCGCGAGUGUUUUGUCAAGUGCCAUGGAUGUGCAACAGGGGAGGGACGAGAGGAAAGGAGGUGGUGGCCCAGCGUGGCACCGAUAAACGGCGAAGCAACUCUUGGAUUAAUGUAGCUGUGUUACAACUUUGAUGCUGCGUAUCGGUCUGUAUCACCGCAGCUUAGUAGCUGAGUAGCUGAGUAACUCCGCUCGUUGUGCAUCGGAUCGUAUUACGGCAGCUUCGUGGCUGAAUAACUCCGCUCGUUGCGCAUCGGGUCGGUGAGUCAAAAACAAUUUUUAUUUUCUUAUUUUAAUGUUGUGUAAAUAUCCUGCGAGGGGUAAAAUAAGGACACUGAAAGAAAGUGUUUAGUAAUUACUGUCAAAUAUUGGGUGAAAUAAAUUUUAAUAUUAUAUAUUCGAUUAACAUAAUAAAUAAUAAUUUUACUUUUCUAAAUAUUUUGUAAACAUUACUAUUGGAUAAUACUUGCUAAAUAUUUAGAAGAGUAAAAUUAUUUUUGGUUAAUAUUAAUCAAAUGUUUAAUCAGCAUUAAUUCACUCAACGUUUGUGUAGCAUAUUACAAACUCUUUUCUUCAGUAGACCUGAAUAAUUUUUCAAAGGGGAAACCGAGUACCCAAUCGCACGCGAUUGUAACUAUGUAUUUUUGCGAGUGAGUGCAACAAAUCCCGAGAGGAAGAGGAGAAGGCCUGCAAGACAAUCUUGGGAUAACUGGAUAUUCCUCGGUGUGCUAAUCGACGAGAGGAAGCCAACGUCCAUCGUCGCCGAAUUAUUAUGAAAUAUACAAACCACAGCCGGUUCGUCGCGUCGCGCGUUUGUCUCGGGAGUGCCGUACAAAUACUGGACUUAUACAGACAUUUUUCAUAACUCCCAUUUGAUAGACUCCUAGUUAGAGGGCCGGGAAUCGCACUCCCGUUGCUUGGCAGUGGACAUCUCCUCACUGAGGCGUUGCCGCGACGUCUCAUGCCGAGUGCCCUAAGGCUUUUUUAGAUCCUUUUAGAUACCCUUUUUGGAUUUUCUGGAUCUGGGGUUUGAGCCAGUGAAUCACGUUUAAUCUGACUAUAGGUCAGAACUAGUCUUGGCAGUCCAACGUGUUGAGAGGCUGGCUCUCAUUUCCUGAUUCGUCUAUAGAAUGUAGACGUCGGCAAUGAGUACCUUCUUCGUUAUGUCUAAAUGUCGUCGACAUCGCUCGUCGUAUAAACGUCUCCGUAGAUUAGCUAUAUCACGAGUGGUGUCACCUGGCCGCCGCUGGUUUGGCGUAUGACUGAGUCAAUUUUAAAUGUAACUUUUGCGAGACAAGAGGCGUCCGAUUUAAUGUCAUUGAUUUUGUUUUUCUCUGCGUGGGGCUUAUCCUUGUCCAGGGCGGGUACGCGUGCGUUCUACUUGCCGACUUGGGAUGCUGAAUCCACAGAAAUCCCUUUGAAUGGGAACUCAUAUCAUGGGUUUUAUGAACUCGAAGUGCCGCAGUAUCUCGCGAAAAACUUUAUAAAUGGUUAGUCCACGCGCGCAAAUUUGGUGUAUUAUUCGCGAGUGUUCCGCGUGUGCAACAAGUGAAAAAAGACAACCUUGAGGACACUGAGAGGAGGAGGAGGUCUGGGAGAGGCAUCGGGCCCCAGCGGAGCAACCUUGGGUAAUUACCGUAGCUUCGUGGCUGAUUAACUCCGCUCGUUGCGCAUCGAGUCGGUGAGUGAGAAAUCAAUUUUCAUAUUAUAUUUUAAUACUUUGCAAAUAUCCUGCGCAGGAUUAAAGGAAAAUAACACUAUUAACCUCUCGAUACACAUAGUCAAAACACGCUAUUUUCGCGAUGACAGCGCUCACGAAAUUAGCGCAGUGAGAGAACCAAUCGGCAUCGCGGAAAAGUGACAACAAUAACUUCAAUUCUGUGCUCGUGCCUUUUUAAAGAAAAGAAUUGGUUUGAAUUUAGUUAAUAUACAUGUAUCUACUCUUUUUGCACAUACAAAUUAAAUAAGUGGAUUAAAUGAGAGGAUUUUCGAUCGUAUAGUAUUAGUAGUAUAAGUAUAAAUAGAGGAAAGUCAUCAAUAUUGGCAUAGAUCACCUAAAUCGACAUCCACUUAUUACUCGAAAACUAAAAGCAUUGCAUUGCAUUAACACUGAUAAAAACACGAUAUGUUUACAAUUGGAUAACUAAAGAAAUUCAUGGCUUUUUAUUUCUAUAUAAAAUUGAUUGAAAAUAAAAUCUUGAAAAAACAAAAAUAAAGUUUGCACGAUUUUCUCUUGCAAACUACAUAGUUGUAAAACAAUAAUGAGUUAGAUACGAACGAUUACAUUGGCUCGCUUAAUUUUUUAUCACGGCGUAUUUUGCCGAAAUAAAGAAUCACUGUACGUAAUGAUUUUAUAUUUCGAUAAAAAUGUGCGCCCAUUAGAGUUACAUGUUAUAAAAUUUUGUACAUCGAUGUCGUUGAUGUAAUCCUGUUAUGAAUGGCUUAGUCGUUUUAAUUGAUAAACCCGAUAACCGUUAAGAGCCAAUAACUGGAUCGCGAUAUAUUA
This is a long non-coding RNA of Solenopsis invicta (red fire ant), 3056 nucleotides long. RefSeq lists it as uncharacterized. The record is from RefSeq and is a predicted model, not a curated record. The transcript has 6 exons. NCBI's taxonomy places the organism in Eukaryota, Metazoa, Arthropoda, Insecta, Hymenoptera, Formicidae.